GGGAAAACUUCUCAUUUCUGAUCUUAGAAGAAAAGCUUUCACUUUCAUCACUGAAUGUAAUGUUAAGCUGUGGGCUUUUCAGAUACAGCUUUUGUUAUGUUGAAGUACUUUCCUCACAUUUUGAGGUUUCAGCGAGUUUUUAUUUUGAAAGGGUGUUAAUUUUGUUAAACGUUUUUUCUGCAUCUAUUGAGAUGAUCACAUGAGUUUUAUCCUUCAUUCUGUUAAUGUGCAGGAGUCUAUCCCAGAGUUACACUGCCUGGAGUUGGUGGAUAGGCAACACAGGUACUCCACUGGCUGCCACAACUGGUGUUGCAUUGGGUAACAACCAAAGUCCACUGUCUCUGAGGUUCUGGGGUACAUGUGCAGAUUAUGCAGGAUUGUUACAUAGGUACAUACGUGGCAAGGUGGUUUGCUGCCUUCCUCCACUCAUCACCUAUAUCAGGUAUUUCUCCCCACUUUUUACCUCCCCUAGUUUCCCCCAACUGACCGCAGUGUGUGGUGCUCCCCUUCCUGUUCACAUGUUCUAAUUGUUCAACACCCACCUAUGAGUGAUACCAUGCAGUGUUUGAUUUUCUGUUCUUGUGUCAGUUUGCUGAGAAUGAUGGUUUCCAGAUUCAUCCAUGUCCCUAUGACAGACAGGAACUCAUUGUUUUUUUAUGGCUGCUUAAUAUUCCAUGGUGUAUAUGUGCCACAUUUUCUUUAUCCAGUCUAUCAUUGAUGGACAUUUGGGUUGGUUCCCGGUCUUUACUAUUGUAAACAGUGCUGCAAUGAACCUAUGUAUGCAAGUGUCUUAUUAAUAGAAUAAUUUAUAAUUAUUUGUAAAUAUACCCAGUAAUGGGAUUACUGGGUCAAAUGGAAUUUCUAUUUCUAGGUCCUUGAGGAAUCGCCAGACUGUCUUCCACAAUGGUUGCACUAAUUUGCACUCCCACCAACAGGGUAAAAAUGUUCCUAUUUCUCCACAUCUAUUGUCUCCAAAUUAUUUAAUGAUUGCCAUUCUAAUUGACAUGAGGUGGUAUCUCAAUGUGGUUUUGAUUUGCAUUUCUCUAAUGACCAGCGAUGAUGAGUAUUUUUUCAUGUUUGUUGGCCUCAUGGAUGUCUUCUUUUGUAAAGUGUCUGUUAAUAUCCUUCACCCACUUUUGAAUGGCUUUGCUUUUUCCCGUAAAUCUGUUUUAGUUGUUUGUAGAUUCUGGAUAUUAGCCCUUUUUCAGAUGAGUAGAUUGCAAAAAUUUUUUCCCAUUCUAUUGGUUGCCAGUUCCCUUUAAUGAUUUUCCUUUGCUGUAUAGAAGCUCUGGACUUUAAUUAGAUCCCAUUUGUCUACUUUGGCUUUUGUUGCCAUUGCUGUUGGUGUUUUAGCUAUGAAGACCUUGCCUAUGUCUAUGUCCUGAAUGGUUUUGCCUAGAUUUUCUUCUAGGGUUUUUAUGGUGUUAGGUGUUAUGUUUAGAUCUUUAAUCCAUCUAGAGUUAAUUUUAGUGUAAGGUGUAAGGAAUGGGUCCAGUUUCUGUUUUCUGCACAUGGCUAGCCAGUUUUCCCAACACCAUUUAUUAAACAGGGAAUCCUUUCCCCAUUGCUUGUUUUUGUCUGGUUUGUCAAAUCAGAUGAUUGUAGAUGUGUGGUGUUGCUUCUGAGGCCUCUGAUCUGUUCCAUUGGUCUAUGUCUCUGUUUUGGUACCAGUACCAUGCUGUUUUGAUUACUAUGGCCUUGUAGUAUAGUUUGAAGGCAGGCAGCAUGAUGCCUCCAGCUUUGUUCUUUUUGCUUAGGAUUGUUUUUGAUAUGGGGGCUCUCUUUUGCUUCCAUAUGAAAUUUGAAGCGUUUUUUUUUUUUUUUUCCAGUUCUGUGAAUAAAGUCAUUGGAAGCUUGAUGGGAUAGCAUUGAAUUUAUAAAUUACAUUGGGCAGUAUGGCCAUUUUCACGAUGUUGAUUCUUCCCAACCAUGAGCAUGGAAUGUUGUUCCAUCUGUUUUUGUCCUCUCUUAUUUCCUUGAGCAGUGAUUUGUAGUUCUCCUUGAACAGGUCCUUUACAUCCUUUGUUAGUUGUAUUCCUUGGUAUUUUAUUCUAUUUGUAGCAAUAGUGAAUGCGAGUUCACUUUUGAUUUGGCUCUGUUUUUCUGUUAUUGGUGUAUAGAAAUGCUUGUGAAUUCUGCAGAUUGAUUUUGUAUCCUGAGACUUUGCUGAAUUUGUUUAUCAGUUUCAAGAGAUUUUGGGCUAAGACAAUGGGGUCUUCUAAAUAUACAAUCACAUCAUCUGCAAAUAGAGACAAUUUGGCUUCCUCUUCUCCUAAUUGAAUAUCCUUUAUUUCUUUUCCUUGCCUGAUUGCUCGGGCUGGAACUUCCAGUACUAUAUUGAAUAGGAGUGGUGAGAGAAGGCAUCCUUGCCCUGUGCCAGAUUUCAAAGGGAAUGCUUCCAGUUUUUGCCCAUUCCAUAUGAUAUUGGAAGUGGGUAUGUCAUAAAUAGCUUUUAUUAUUUUGUGAUAGGUUCCAUCAAUACCUAGUUUAUUGAGGGUUUUUAGCAUAAAAGGCUGUUGAAUUUUGUUGAAGGCCUUCUCUGCACCUGUUGAGAUAAUGUGGUUUUUGUCUUUGGUUCUGUUUAUAUGAUGGAUUACGUUUAUAGACUUACAUAUGUUGAACCAGCUUUGCAUCCCCAGGAUGAAGCCUACUUGAUCAUGAUGAACAAGCGUUUUGAUUUGCAGUUGCAUUCUGUUUGCCAGUGUUUUAUUGAAGAUUUUUGCAUCUAUGUUCAUCAUGGAUAUUGGCCUGAAAUUUCCUUUUAUAGUUGUGUCUAUUCCCAGUUUUGGCAUUAGGAUGAUGUUGGUCUCCUAAAAUGAGUUGGGGAGGAUUCCCUCUUUUUAUAUUGUUUGGAGUAGUUUCAGAAGGAAUGAUAUCAGCUCCUCCUUGUACAUCUGGUAGAAUUCUGCUGUAAACCCCUCUGGACCUGGGCUUUGUUUAGUCUGUAGGCUAUUAAUUGCUGCCUCAACAUCAGCCCUUGUUAUUGGUCUAUUCAGGGUUUUAACUUCUUCCUGGUUUAGUCUUAGGAGAAUGCAAGUGUCCAGGAAUUUAUCCAUUUCUUUCAGAUUUACUGGUUUGUGUGUAUAUAGUUGUUUGUAGUAAUCCCUGAUGGCAGCUUGCAUUUCUGUGGAAUCAGUGGUGAUGUCCCCUUUAUCAUUUUUUAUUGCAUCUAUUUGAUUCUUCUCUCUUUUCUUUUUUAUUAAUCUGGCUAAUGGUCUCUCUUUUCUGUUGAUCUUUUCAAAAAACCAGUUCUUGGAUUUGUUGAUUUUUUUGAAGAGUUUUUUUGUGUCUCUAUCUCCUUUAGUUCUGCUCUGAUCUUAGUUAUUUCUUGCCUUCUACUAGCUUUUGAGUUUUUUUGAUCUUGCUCUGUAGUAGUCACUUUUUUAAAAGAUAAAUUAUUAUUGCAAAGCCUGGAACACCUGGAUGCUACACUAGGAUUUGUGUGAAGAGAGUGAUGAUAUUGAACAUCUAGUCUGGGGCUAGAAUAUAAAGGACACAACUUGCUAUACUGAGGUUGAGCUCUGCUUUAUAGACAAUAAAAAAUUGGUGAAGGCUUUUAAAUCUAUAAAUUUAUGUGAUUGGAAUUGUAUUUUGGAAUGACAGUUCUGGGGAUAACAUAAGGGUGGCUUAGAGUUAUAACAUGAGUUGCAAAGCAUUAACACUGAUGGUUUAAAAAUACUCAUUUAAACAACAGAUGAGUUAAACUAAGGAGUUUGAAAAAGAAAUCAAUAUGUAAAAUAUGCAUAUUCCAGUGAUAUAAUACAUAUCAUAAAUACAGAUGGAAAUCAAAUAUAAUACUAAAGAUACAUACAGAUAUAACAUUAUGACUUACUAGAGCAAUAAAUGGGAAACAAUAAUGGAAAGAGGAAGGAGAAUCACUGGUAGACUGAUGAUAAUGUCAACAGCUAAGAAAUAGGACAAGAAGCUUAGGGUCAAAGAUAGGGAUUUCAUUAUACAUCUGUUGAAAAUCUGGGAUAACUAAGAUUACAUAUUCACUCAGCGAAUAUUUUUAUACUUUAGGCAUUUGAGUAGC
Molecule: long non-coding RNA, 4033 nt
Organism: Callithrix jacchus (white-tufted-ear marmoset)
Lineage: Eukaryota; Metazoa; Chordata; Mammalia; Primates; Cebidae
Source: Ensembl